This 253-nucleotide ribosomal RNA is filed under the name uncultured bacterium. RNAcentral's name for it is "partial 16S ribosomal RNA". It matches the Rfam family "Bacterial small subunit ribosomal RNA", at positions 524 to 776 of the family's 1533-position model. The record is from RNAcentral.
UACAGAGGUCCCGAGCGUUGUUCGGAUUCCCUGGGCGUAAAGGGUGCGUAGGUGGCAUGGUAAGUUUGAUGUGAAAGCUCAGGGCUCAACCCUGAAAUGGCAUUGAAUACUACUGUGCUGGAGGUUUGGAGGGGGGACUGGAAUUCUUGGUGUAGCAGUGAAAUGCGUAGAUAUCAAGAGGAACACCAGUGGCGAAGGCGAGUCCCUGGACAACACCUGACACUGAGGCACGAAAGCUAGGGGAGCAAACAGG